This 2035-nucleotide ribosomal RNA is filed under the name Shigella flexneri. RNAcentral describes it as "partial 23S ribosomal RNA". It matches the Rfam family "Bacterial large subunit ribosomal RNA", at positions 163 to 2222 of the family's 2925-position model. The record is from RNAcentral. Lineage: Bacteria; Pseudomonadati; Pseudomonadota; Gammaproteobacteria; Enterobacterales; Enterobacteriaceae.
UCCAUAGGUUAAUGAGGCGAACCGGGGGAACUGAAACAUCUAAGUACCCCGAGGAAAAGAAAUCAACCGAGAUUCCCCCAGUAGCGGCGAGCGAACGGGGAGCAGCCCAGAGCCUGAAUCAGUGUGUGUGUUAGUGGAAGCGUCUGGAAAGGCGUGCGAUACAGGGUGACAGCCCCGUACACAAAAAUGCACAUACUGUGAGCUCGAUGAGUAGGGCGGGACACGUGGUAUCCUGUCUGAAUAUGGGGGGACCAUCCUCCAAGGCUAAAUACUCCUGACUGACCGAUAGUGAACCAGUACCGUGAGGGAAAGGCGAAAAGAACCCCGGCGAGGGGAGUGAAAAAGAACCUGAAACCGUGUACGUACAAGCAGUGGGAGCACGCUUAGGCGUGUGACUGCGUACCUUUUGUAUAAUGGGUCAGCGACUUAUAUUCUGUAGCAAGGUUAACCGAAUAGGGGAGCCGAAGGGAAACCGAGUCUUAACUGGGCGUUAAGUUGCAGGGUAUAGACCCGAAACCCGGUGAUCUAGCCAUGGGCAGGUUGAAGGUUGGGUAACACUAACUGGAGGACCGAACCGACUAAUGUUGAAAAAUUAGCGGAUGACUUGUGGCUGGGGGUGAAAGGCCAAUCAAACCGGGAGAUAGCUGGUUCUCCCCGAAAGCUAUUUAGGUAGCGCCUCGUGAAUUCAUCUCCGGGGGUAGAGCACUGUUUCGGCAAGGGGGUCAUCCCGACUUACCAACCCGAUGCAAACUGCGAAUACCGGAGAAUGUUAUCACGGGAGACACACGGCGGGUGCUAACGUCCGUCGUGAAGAGGGAAACAACCCAGACCGCCAGCUAAGGUCCCAAAGUCAUGGUUAAGUGGGAAACGAUGUGGGAAGGCCCAGACAGCCAGGAUGUUGGCUUAGAAGCAGCCAUCAUUUAAAGAAAGCGUAAUAGCUCACUGGUCGAGUCGGCCUGCGCGGAAGAUGUAACGGGGCUAAACCAUGCACCGAAGCUGCGGCAGCGACGCUUAUGCGUUGUUGGGUAGGGGAGCGUUCUGUAAGCCUGUGAAGGUGUGCUGUGAGGUAUGCUGGAGGUAUCAGAAGUGCGAAUGCUGACAUAAGUAACGAUAAAGCGGGUGAAAAGCCCGCUCGCCGGAAGACCAAGGGUUCCUGUCCAACGUUAAUCGGGGCAGGGUGAGUCGACCCCUAAGGCGAGGCCGAAAGGCGUAGUCGAUGGGAAACAGGUUAAUAUUCCUGUACUUGGUGUUACUGCGAAGGGGGGACGGAGAAGGCUAUGUUGGCCGGGCGACGGUUGUCCCGGUUUAAGCGUGUAGGCUGGUUUUCCAGGCAAAUCCGGAAAAUCAAGGCCGAGGCGUGAUGACGAGGCACUACGGUGCUGAAGCAACAAAUGCCCUGCUUCCAGGAAAAGCCUCUAAGCAUCAGGUAACAUCAAAUCGUACCCCAAACCGACACAGGUGGUCAGGUAGAGAAUACCAAGGCGCUUGAGAGAACUCGGGUGAAGGAACUAGGCAAAAUGGUGCCGUAACUUCGGGAGAAGGCACGCUGAUACGUAGGUGAAGCGACUUGCUCGUGGAGCUGAAAUCAGUCGAAGAUACCAGCUGGCUGCAACUGUUUAUUAAAAACACAGCACUGUGCAAACACGAAAGUGGACGUAUACGGUGUGACGCCUGCCCGGUGCCGGAAGGUUAAUUGAUGGGGUUAGCGCAAGCGAAGCUCUUGAUCGAAGCCCCGGUAAACGGCGGCCGUAACUAUAACGGUCCUAAGGUAGCGAAAUUCCUUGUCGGGUAAGUUCCGACCUGCACGAAUGGCGUAAUGAUGGCCAGGCUGUCUCCACCCGAGACUCAGUGAAAUUGAACUCGCUGUGAAGAUGCAGUGUACCCGCGGCAAGACGGAAAGACCCCGUGAACCUUUACUAUAGCUUGACACUGAACAUUGAGCCUUGAUGUGUAGGAUAGGUGGGAGGCUUUGAAGUGUGGACGCCAGUCUGCAUGGAGCCGACCUUGAAAUACCACCCUUUAAUGUUUGAUGUUC